CUCCUCUCAGGGUCGCACCCGGAGAGUUUCCAGGAUUCAGCCAGUCUCGGCUAUGGGAGGGAGAGUGUCGCAGAGGCCUAUCCAUUCCAUUCCUAGCUCGGGCAGUGGCUAGCGAGUGGAAGGCAAUCAGCUACAAGU
Small nucleolar RNA from Ornithorhynchus anatinus (platypus), 138 nucleotides. The record is from RefSeq and is a predicted model, not a curated record. NCBI's taxonomy places the organism in Eukaryota, Metazoa, Chordata, Mammalia, Monotremata, Ornithorhynchidae.